Arachis ipaensis is the source of this 893-nucleotide non-coding RNA. The record is from RefSeq and is a predicted model, not a curated record. NCBI's taxonomy places the organism in Eukaryota, Viridiplantae, Streptophyta, Magnoliopsida, Fabales, Fabaceae.
AAGGAAACCCUGAUUAAAACUCAUUCUCUCUUCUUCUCUCACAACCGAACGGCGCUUCAAAGGGAACCAUAGUCAUCUCUUCAAGCAUUCAAUGCUGUGGUGUGGUGUUACAAGAGGAGGAAGCCACGAAGCUUUCUGCACCAGCUCACCUCUUCCCUACCUCCUAUAGUAUAUAUGGAUGAACCAAGCCUCUCAAUUCUCCUGGAAACAACAGAAAUGCACGACAAGAAGAGAAGAAAGGAAACAAGAGUGGCGGCCAAGGAGAAGAAGGAGGAAAACCCAGGCAGAAUCAUGAUCAUUUUCGUGCAUCGCCAUCAGGGAAGAAGAGAAGGACAGCCAUGGAAGUUGCUACCCGAAGCCAGAGGAGGAGCUCUACCCCUUUUCCUUUUUUAUUUCCUUAACGUUCUUCUUGCUGGGUAAGAACCAGUAGCUUCUGUAUUCUUCUGUUCUUUCCCAAUUCGAAAGUUCCAUCCUUAUUAAGCUUCAAUUUCUUUAAUUAAUGGCUAAACCAAUCAAGCUCAGUCCAUCACAAGAGUAAGAAUCCUUCUCUUGCUCUAUAUGAAGCUAGGUCAUUUGGCCCUAUAAAUUAACAAAUUUCUUUAAUUAUGAUUGUUAGGGUUUUUGAUUUAAGAUAAGCAAAGGACAAAAUUUAGUUUGUGAAAUUCUCAGAGUAAGGUUGAUAAAGCUAUAGAGGAAUACAAAAGGAUGAAGGGAGGGAUACAAAGCGAAGGAAGGCAAGCAUGUGUACUCAUUUGUUAUUUUUGUUUCCACACAUGUCGGAAUUGUGGAUUUGAUUAAGCAAACAACAUUUGAGAAAAUGAUAUUGUAUUAUUUAAUAUCAAUUUGUAAACUUUGAGAAAAUCAUUCAAAUAGCUAAGGUUAUUUAUUGACAC